This 138-nucleotide small nucleolar RNA is filed under the name Ornithorhynchus anatinus (platypus). Lineage: Eukaryota; Metazoa; Chordata; Mammalia; Monotremata; Ornithorhynchidae. The record is from RNAcentral.
ACCCUCUCGAGUUCACACCUGGAGAGUUUCCAGUACUCUACCAGUCUCGACUAUAGGAGGAAGAGUCAGGCAGAGGCCUGCCCAUUCCAUUCCUAGCUUGGGCAGUGGCUAGCGAGUGGAAGACAACCUGGUACAACU